UGGAAUCUAUUCUGCAGGCAGGAAGCAGAGACUCUGUGACUCUGGAGAGUUUUGAGCAGGGUGGCACGAGGCAUGCAAACAUUUUCUUGGCUGUUUUUUUAUUUUUAUUAUUAUUUUUUAAUUAUACUUUAAGCUCUGGGGUACAUGUGCAGAACGUGAAGGUUUGUUACAUAGGUAUACAUGUGCCAUGGUGGUUUGCUGCACCCAUCAACCCAUCACCUAUAUGGGCAUGGUGGUGUGUGCCUGUAAUCCCAGCUACUUGGGAGGCUGAGGCAGAGGAAUUGCUUGAACCCGGGAGACAGAGGUUGCAGUGAGCUGAGAGCUCGCCAUUGCACUCCAGCCUGGGCGAGAGCAUGAGACUCUGUCUCAAAAAAACGAAGAAAGAGAGACAGAGACAGAGAGAAAGAGAGAGAGAAAGGAAGGAAGGAAGGAAAGGAAAGGAAAGGAAAGGAAAGGAAAGGAAAAGAAAGGAAAGGAAAGGAAAGGAAAGGAAAAAGGAAAGGAAGAGAGAGAUGGAAGGAGUGGAAGGAGGGAGGGAGGAGGGAAGAAAGGAAGGAAGGAAGGGAGAGAGGGAGGAAGGACGGAAGGGAGGGAAAGAGAGAGGGAGGGAGGGAGGAAGGAAGGAAAGAAAGGAAGGAGGGAGGAAAAGAAAGGUUUACCAGAACUCAAGGUAGCAUUCAGUUUAAGUGGGUCCAAAUUUUUUCAGCAACUCUCUAAUUUACCUGGAGUUAAAUGAUGUCUUUGGUGUGUGUCUUUCACAGUGUUCUGUGUGUAUAUGUGUAACAAAAUAAUACUAAGAACACAUUUCUCCAGAGACUUGACACAACAUCCAAAAAAUAUAUACAUAUUUCUUUUUUUAAUCUCAAGUAAUUUGCUUAGAUAUUAAGAAAAAUGAUGGGACUAAAAGUAGGGGUAGGGGAUAAGGAGAAAUUACGUUUACAAGUUAUUAACCAUUGAGUAUAAAUACUACAUUAAAAAUUAAUAUUUUCUGAUAAAGUUGAAAUUUCCAGUCACUGAGAAAAUGAUGCAUUAUUCACUAAAUGGUAUUGGAACAAAUUACAAUCAUCUGUAUGACAAAUUAAAGGAGUUCAUAUAUUAUACAGCACCAAAAUAAAUUUCAUAUGAAUUACAGAUUUAAAUAUAAAAAAUAAAACCAUAAAAUAUUAACAGAAAAUAGGAGUGUUGAUUUAUGUAAUCAUGUGUGUAGAAGGCCUUUGUAAAGAUUUUGCCAAAAGCAGAAAGCAUUAAAAAAGAUAUUAUUAAACUUGAUCACAUAAAAUUUAGAACUUAUGUAUAUUAAAGAUCCACUGUAAAAAAAAUAAAGCAAUAUGGAAAAUUUAGGAAAAAAUAUUUCCAACUUAUGAUAGAAACAGAAUUGAGGUACUAAAAUCCUCUCACAAACAAAUUAGAAAAACAAAACAGCUAGCAAAAAAAGUUACCAAUGAAAUGAAAAAGCACUUCACAAAAACUAAAAUCAGCUACUCCACAGCAUAUAAAAAAUGUACAAAGCACUAGUAAUCAAGGAAAUGCACAUUAAAACAAUAAUGAGAUGCUCUUAUUUAUCCAUCAAAUUGGGCUAAAGAUUUUUUUGAAGCUAAAAUCCUGGAGAUUGGCAAGUAUUCAGAAAAAUGGUCCCUCUGAGAAAUAUAAAUUGUUGGGAAUAUGAAUGAAAAGACUUAGAAUUAUUCUUACCCUUUUCCCAGUGCUCUCACUCCUGGAAAUUAUCCUAAAGAACUAGGCAUGAAUGGCAAUUUAAUAAUACAUAUCAGAGAAUCACAGAGCAGACUGACUCAUUCACCUCCAUUGCAACUAUCUGUCAAUGAAUAUAGACCUACAUAACCAAUUUUAACGGCUUUAUAAUACUGCAUUGAGGGAAUGUAUAAUUUAUGUGUUCAUUGCCAUUCUGACAGACAUUGAGGAUGUUUCAAGAUGUUACUUUUGUUUAAAAAUAUUCCAAAAACAUCCUACUAAAUAUAUCUUUGUAUGCAUCCCCAAUUUGUUUUUUAAGAUUAAUUCCUAGGUGUAGAAUUACUGAGUCAAAGUGUGCCCAUUUAAAUUUAAGUAUGGUGUUAAAAAGCUGUAACAAUUUAUUCCCUCCAGCAUUAUACAGGUGCCAUUUUUCACACUCUUCCUUCAGAGAAUGUUAACAAUCCUUUCCAGCAUUAUCUUUCUUAUUGGUAAAAAUUAAUAUCUCCUAGCUUUAUUUGGUAACUCUUUUUUGUACAUAAUAGAGAAUGAAUUUGCCCAUUUUCCUAUUUGUUAUGUUAACCAUUUUAAAACAAUCUUGUUAUAUCAAGAAUAUUAUUUUUUUCUACCUAUACAUUGCAAAUAGGUUC
This 2336-nucleotide long non-coding RNA is filed under the name Homo sapiens (human). RNAcentral's name for it is "non-protein coding lnc-BHLHE22-4:1". The record is from RNAcentral. Lineage: Eukaryota; Metazoa; Chordata; Mammalia; Primates; Hominidae.